AUACGGAGGGUCCAAGCGUUAUCCGGAUUCAUUGGGUUUAAAGGGUCCGCAGGCGGGAAAAUAAGUCAGUGGUGAAAGCCUACAGCUCAACUGUAGAACUGCCAUUGAUACUGUUUUUCUUGAGUAUAGAUGAAGUGGGCGGAAUAUAUCAUGUAGCGGUGAAAUGCAUAGAUAUGAUAUAGAACACCGAUUGCGAAGGCAGCUCACUAAACUAUUACUGACGCUCAGGGACGAAAGCGUGGGGAGCGAACAGAAUUAGAAACCCCAGUAGUCC
RNAcentral lists this ribosomal RNA (274 nucleotides) under uncultured bacterium. RNAcentral's name for it is "partial 16S ribosomal RNA". It matches the Rfam family "Bacterial small subunit ribosomal RNA", at positions 523 to 796 of the family's 1533-position model. The record is from RNAcentral.